Long non-coding RNA from Gallus gallus (chicken), 442 nucleotides. The record is from Ensembl. Lineage: Eukaryota; Metazoa; Chordata; Aves; Galliformes; Phasianidae.
CUCCCAAGGAGGAAGGAUCUCUAUCUGGAGAUCACUUCUCUUGGAGCCCUUCUGCGAGCAUAGGAUAUGGAGCAGCUAGCAGAAUACAAGACCCUCCAAGGACUGAAAUUCAGUAUGUUAUAAAGCCUGUGAGCCAAGACCACAUCCAUCACCAUGGAUGUAAAGAAAAUGAAGAAAAAUCAAGAAAAAAGAAAGAAUAGCAACAAUUUUGGACUUUUCAGUGAAACUACACAUCUUCCUGAAAAUUCUACUCACCUUCAACACAGACUUCCAUUUCAGAAACCAUUCUGAGGUUUGGAUCUUCUUGACAUAAUUUCAGCAGAUCUUCCUGUGUGCAUCUUCAGGCUUUGGACAAGCAUGGGUCUUUUCUUGCUUUGAGAACCUCAUCCUCCUUACAGAAGUGCUGACCGAGUGCAGUUCGGUGUACUCUUUACAGCAGGAG